UUCACACUGGGUGGUUUUUGGAGGGUGUGGCAGGGUGGUGGGGCUGCAGAGAAGCAGCUACCAACAUCCACGGUCUCCAGUGUUCUGCCCAUGUGCUGUCUGUCCACUCCCUCAGCAGAACAUGCCUUCAAGGAAGACCCCAAGCUCAGCACUGUGGCAGAGCCCCUCCCCUCCACCCACUGAGCUUUGCUUUAUAGGGAGCAAAGGCCUCUGGAGCCCAAGGAGAGAGCUCUCAUAUCCCCAUCUCCAGUACCAGCUGGCAGCUGUGACAGGAUUCCCAGGCGAUGACCUCACAAACCUGUGCACUGUCAUUACAAUUGCCAGCACUGCCAGCCGGGAGCAGCAGAGCCCCCACUUCAGUGUGACCUACUUCUUCUGGCUCUGAAAUCACACUCUGAGAUUGCUGCCUCCUUCACUCCAAAGAAUGCACACACACGUUUGUAGGGAGAGCACAUUAAAGAGUCUCCGCCCCUCACAUCCCACUGAAAGCAAAAUCACACUGCAAGCAACUAUAGCUAAGUGUGGGGGUUGGAGAGAAGGAGUAAUGACUGUCAUGGAGGCAGGGAUUGCUCUCUGGGGUGUGGACAGACGCCCAGUGCCAA
Molecule: long non-coding RNA, 602 nt
Filed under: Mus musculus (house mouse)
Lineage: Eukaryota; Metazoa; Chordata; Mammalia; Rodentia; Muridae
Description: long non-coding RNA chr7:64021414-64022016
Source: RNAcentral